GGAGCCGCUGCCGCCGGCAGCGCUGCGAGCCAGCCGAGCCCCGGGCCUCGAGGGACGGGGGAGGGAUGCAGGGCCCCAGGGGUCCCGGCUCGCAGGGGGCAGAGUUCGUUUGCAGGGGGAGCCCUUGCGGGACGUCACGGAGGGCAGAACCACGCUAGAUGAAGUUAGACAGUGACAGUGGAAGGACAGAGCCGCACCGAGACAGGCACAUUCUGCAAGGGAGGAAGGCAGACAAUGGCAGCAGCCGAAACACCUGAGAUCUCUCGAUACAAUAAAACGUGGACGAUGAUUGGAGUCAUUUCUGCCUCCGCUUCCAGAGGGAGCUCAAACCUGACGCAUCAGUUAUCCAUCUCCAACGUGUAAAACAGGACACUCGCGAAACCUGCUAGGGACACCACCGCCCGCACCUGGCGGGGGUUACCUUUUGCAAACAGAAAAGGAGACCUGACUUUUUUCAAUUUAGUGCUUGUGUGAACCUAAGGUCGGGGCUUGCGCAGGGUAAUACACUCCUUUGACCCUCUGGAGACUAGAACUGAGCAAAGGGAAAUCAGGCGAGGGAAACGGAAGAUGCUGAGAAGAGAGUAGCGAGCGGAAGGCUAGUAGGUGGUGCGCAGGGGCUGCUUGGACCCCGCGGCGGGACCCGGCUCCAGCGUGGGCAAAUCACAGGGCGCCCGGGCCCAGGACUCUGGGCAGACCUGGCAGAAAUGCGGCCACGUGCUCAGGGCUCCUGUGCUCUGGCUCUGCAUUUCGGGGUGAGCUGCACACACACGCCCACACACACGCACACAGCGGUGCAUGCCUCUCUCCUGGCGCUGGGGUCCCUCUGAGGUUGUCCAGACAGCGGAACCUCACAAGUUCCCGCCGAGCACGGCCACUUGACGAUUUCGCUCACGCUGGAUGAGGG
Molecule: long non-coding RNA, 904 nt
Filed under: Equus asinus (donkey)
Lineage: Eukaryota; Metazoa; Chordata; Mammalia; Perissodactyla; Equidae
Description: lncRNA (ENSEASG00005032368.1)
Source: RNAcentral